AUACGUAGGUGACAAGCGUUAUCCGGAUUUACUGGGCGUAAAGGGCGUGUAGGCGGUCUUGCAAGUCAGAAGUGAAAUUCCUGAGCUCAACUCGGGCGCUGCUUCUGAAACUGCAGGACUUGAGUGCUGGAGGGGAUAGCGGAAUUCCUAGUGGAGCGGUAAAAUGCGCAGAUAUUAGGAAGAACACCGGUGGCGAAGGCGGCUAUCUGGACAGUAACUGACGCUGAGGCGCGAAAGCGUGGGGAGCAAACAGGAUUAGAUACCCUGGUAGUCCACGUCGUAAACGAUGAAUACUAGGUGUAGGGGGUAUCGACUCCCUCUGUGCCGCAGUUAACACAAUAAGUAUUCCGCCUGGGGAGUACGGCCGCAAGGUUGAAACUCAAAUGAAUUGACGGGG
RNAcentral lists this ribosomal RNA (397 nucleotides) under uncultured bacterium. RNAcentral describes it as "partial 16S ribosomal RNA". It matches the Rfam family "Bacterial small subunit ribosomal RNA", at positions 523 to 918 of the family's 1533-position model. The record is from RNAcentral.